AGAUUGAAUGCUGGCGGAAUGCUUUACACAUGCAAGUCGAACGGCAGCACGGGGGCAACCCUGGUGGCGAGUGGCGCACGGGUGAGUAAUACAUCGGAACGUGUCCUAGAGUGGGGGAUAGCCCGGCGAAAGCCGGAUUAAUACCGCAUACGCUCGAAAGAGGAAAGUGGGGGAUCGUAAGACCUCACGCCCAAGGAGCGGCCGAUGCCGGAUUAGCUUGUUGGUGAGGUAAAAGCUCACCAAGGCGACGAUCCGUAGCUGGUCUGAGAGGACGACCAGCCACACUGGGACUGAGACACGGCCCAGACUCCUACGGGAGGCAGCAGUGGGGAAUUUGGACAAGUGGGGAAACCCUGAUCCAGCCAUUCCGCGUGAGUGAAGAAGGCCUUGGGUGUAAGCUCGUUCGGCGAGGAACGAACGGUU
This 423-nucleotide ribosomal RNA is filed under the name uncultured soil bacterium. Its description in RNAcentral is "bacterial SSU rRNA". It matches the Rfam family "Bacterial small subunit ribosomal RNA", at positions 26 to 455 of the family's 1533-position model. The record is from RNAcentral.